RNAcentral lists this long non-coding RNA (352 nucleotides) under Carica papaya (papaya). RNAcentral describes it as "long non-coding RNA (CPAP_LNC015646)". The record is from RNAcentral. Lineage: Eukaryota; Viridiplantae; Streptophyta; Magnoliopsida; Brassicales; Caricaceae.
AUAUUUCACUAUUCAUUAUUAGUGUUAUAGUAAAUUCUGAAUGGAGCAAACUGUGAAAGAAGUGAGUUAAUGACGAAUUGAACUAAGAAUAAUUCAUCCAUGUUCAUGCCCAAUGUCUUAAGUUUUGCAGCUUUUCAGCCAUGUUCAAAAUAUGUUGCUGAAUUCUUUUUUGACCAUCAUAUUUCAUGGUGUCAAUUCAGCCAUCAAUGUGCCUACAAGAGACUUAUCGGCGCUUUUAAAAUGUUCCUCCACAUAUUUCAAAAAUUUUAAGGCUAUCUCAGUUUGAGGGAGGGAAGUUUUGAUGUUAGUGGCAAUAGUCAUUCUCAUAAAUAUAAGACUGAGUUUGUUUGAC